RNAcentral lists this ribosomal RNA (168 nucleotides) under uncultured Acinetobacter sp. RNAcentral describes it as "partial 16S ribosomal RNA". It matches the Rfam family "Bacterial small subunit ribosomal RNA", at positions 359 to 525 of the family's 1533-position model. Lineage: Bacteria; Pseudomonadati; Pseudomonadota; Gammaproteobacteria; Moraxellales; Moraxellaceae. The record is from RNAcentral.
CCGAUGUAUGGGCGGAGCCUGAUCAGCCAUGCCGCGUGUGUGAAGAAGGCCUUCUUGGUUGUAAGCUCUUUUAGCGAGGAGGAGGCUACUCUAGUUAAUACCUAGGGAUAGUGGACGUUACUCGCGCAAUAAGCACCGGCUAAAUCUGUGCCAGCAGCCGCGGUAAUA